This 484-nucleotide ribosomal RNA is filed under the name uncultured bacterium. Its description in RNAcentral is "partial 16S ribosomal RNA". It matches the Rfam family "Bacterial small subunit ribosomal RNA", at positions 30 to 507 of the family's 1533-position model. The record is from RNAcentral.
AUUGGACGCUGGCGGCAGGCCUAACACAUGCAAGUCGAGCGGAUGAAGGGAGCUUGCUCCUGGAUUCAGCGGCGGACGGGUGAGUAAUGCCUAGGAAUCUGCCUGCUAGUGGGUGAUAACGUCCGCAAACGGGCGCUAAUACUGCAUACGACCUGCGGGAGAAAGUUGGGGAGCUUCGGACAUCACGCGAUGAGAUGAGCCUAGGUCGGAGUAGCUAGUUUGUGGGGUAAAGGCCUACCAAGGGGAGCAUCCGUAACUAGUCGGUGUGGAGGAUAAGUCACACGAGAAGGGGAACAGGGUCCAGACUACUACGGGAGGCAGCAGUGGGGAAUAUUGGACAAUAGGCGAAAGCAUGGUCCAGUCAUGCGGCGUGUGUGAAGAAGGUCUUCCGAUUGUGAAGCACUUUAAGUUGGGAGGAAGGGCAGUAAGCUAAUACCUUGCUGUUUUGACGUUAACGACAGAAUAAGCACCGGCUAACUUCGUG